ACCUGCCCUUGGGAGGGGAACAACAGCUGGAAACGGCUGCUAAUACCCCAUAGGCUGAGGAGCAAAAGGAGGAAUCCGCCCAAGGAGGGGCUCGCGUCUGAUUAGUUAGUUGGUGAGGCAAUGGCUUACCAAGGCGACGAUCAGUAGCUGGUCCGAGAGGAUGAUCAGCCACACUGGGACUGAGACACGGCCCAGACUCCUACGGGAGGCAGCAGUGGGGAAUUUUCCGCAAUGGGCGAAAGCCUGACGGAGCAAUGCCGCGUGAAGGCAGAAGGCCCACGGGUCAUGAACUUCUUUUCUCGGAGAAGAAAAAAUGACGGUAUCUGAGGAAUAAGCAUCGGCUAACUCUGUGCCAG
RNAcentral lists this ribosomal RNA (356 nucleotides) under uncultured organism. RNAcentral describes it as "bacterial SSU rRNA". It matches the Rfam family "Bacterial small subunit ribosomal RNA", at positions 124 to 511 of the family's 1533-position model. The record is from RNAcentral.